UUGAGACACAAUGUAGAAAGAGAUAUUAACCGAAACAGUGUUUUAUAGGUUCGUAAGUAAUUAACUACUUAAAAUUGGAUAAUUACUUUUGCCCAGUCUUUAACCAGUCUACCUACCCUGUGUUAGGGACAGGGGCUUUUCCGCCACAUCUGACAUUUAAAAUAUGGCCCUUUGUUUCAGGUUUCCACACCACAGAUACCUCUGGCCGGACCCUCACGUACUUCAAGCUUUGCCGCGACCACCACGUCACUAAGAUCGCGAUGAAGACACCAAUGAGGAUGCAGAAGACCUUGGAGGCCCCAGACGAGAAUUCUUCCAUCUACUUGGAAAAGCUGUCUUUAAAGACAGUGGAGCAUUUGAAGCUUCAGCUCCAGAGACGGCAGGCGGGACGAGUCAACGGAGGCCGGGUGGACGAAGGCAUGCAGCUGAGUACAAUCCAGAA
Molecule: long non-coding RNA, 442 nt
Organism: Amphiprion ocellaris (clown anemonefish)
Lineage: Eukaryota; Metazoa; Chordata; Actinopteri; Pomacentridae
Source: Ensembl